GAUGAACGCUGGCGGCGUGCCUAAUACAUGCAAGUCGAGCGAACAGACGAGGAGCUUGCUCCUCUGACGUUAGCGGCGGACGGGUGAGUAACACGUGGAUAACCUACCUAUAAGACUGGGAUAACUUCGGGAAACCGGAGCUAAUACCGGAUAAUAUAUUGAACCGCAUGGUUCAAUAGUGAAAGACGGUUUUGCUGUCACUUAUAGAUGGAUCCGCGCCGCAUUAGCUAGUUGGUAAGGUAACGGCUUACCAAGGCAACGAUGCGUAGCCGACCUGAGAGGGUGAUAGGCCACACUGGAACUGAGACACGGUCCAGACUCCUACGGGAGGCAGCAGUAGGGAAUCUUCCGCAAUGGGCGAAAGCCUGACGGAGCAACGCCGCGUGAGUGAUGAAGGUCUUCGGAUCGUAAAACUCUGUUAUUAGGGAAGAACAAAUGUGUAAGUAACUAUGCACGUCUUGACGGUACCUAAUCAGAAAGCCACGGCUAACUACGUG
This 497-nucleotide ribosomal RNA is filed under the name uncultured bacterium. RNAcentral's name for it is "partial 16S ribosomal RNA". It matches the Rfam family "Bacterial small subunit ribosomal RNA", at positions 28 to 507 of the family's 1533-position model. The record is from RNAcentral.